RNAcentral lists this ribosomal RNA (439 nucleotides) under uncultured bacterium. RNAcentral describes it as "partial 16S ribosomal RNA". It matches the Rfam family "Bacterial small subunit ribosomal RNA", at positions 339 to 795 of the family's 1533-position model. The record is from RNAcentral.
CUACGGGGCGCUGCAGUGAGGAAUAUUGCACAAUGGGGGGAACCCUGAUGCAGCAACGCCGCGUGGAGGAUGACGCAUUUCGGUGUGUAAACUCCUUUUAUAUGUCAAGAAAAUGACGGUAGCAUAUGAAUAAGCACCGGCUAACUCCGUGCCAGCAGCCGCGGUAAUACGGAGGGUGCAAGCGUUACUCGGUAUCACUGGGCGUAAAGGACGCGUAGGCGGGUUGGAAAGUCAGGUGUGAAAUCCUACAGCUUAACUGUAGAACUGCACUUGAAACUUCUAAUCUAGAGUAUGGGAGGGGGAGAUGGGAUUAGUGGUGUAGGGGUAAAAUCCGUAGAUAUCACUAGGAAUACCUAAAGCGAAGGCGAUCUCCUGGAACAUUACUGACGCUAAGGCGUGAAAGCGUGGGGAGCAAACAGGAUUAGAUACCCCGGUAGUC